AAAUGUGUGUAGAUGGUGUUUAACACCGGGUACAGGUGUAUUUGUAAGUGCGUGGAUGGUGUUCAGCACCAGGGACAGGUCUAUGUGACU
This 90-nucleotide microRNA precursor is filed under the name Branchiostoma floridae (Florida lancelet). RNAcentral's name for it is "mir-2060 microRNA precursor family". It matches the Rfam family "mir-2060 microRNA precursor family". Lineage: Eukaryota; Metazoa; Chordata; Leptocardii; Amphioxiformes; Branchiostomatidae. The record is from Rfam by way of RNAcentral.